ACAAACUUGGUCAUUUAGAGGAAGUAAAAGUCGUAACAAGGUCUCCGUAGGUGAACCUGCGGAGGGAUCAUUACCGAAAGGCCUCGUGCCUUUUACCUUCAAAACCGUGGAGCAGACACGUGCUUCGGCGCCCAGGCGCCGUCCUCAUGCCUGAACAUGUCCUUGACGUCUGAACAUGAGAAUAAGAAACCAAAACUUUCAACAAAGGAUCUCUUGGCUCUCGCAUCGAUGAAGAACGCAGC
RNAcentral lists this unclassified non-coding RNA (242 nucleotides) under uncultured fungus. RNAcentral describes it as "partial contains small subunit ribosomal RNA, internal transcribed spacer 1, and 5.8S ribosomal RNA". The stretch from base 1 to 73 matches the Rfam family "Eukaryotic small subunit ribosomal RNA", at positions 1759 to 1831 of the family's 1831-position model. The record is from RNAcentral. Lineage: Eukaryota; Fungi.